GUGUUUGUUUCCCACUUCCUCAUGUGACUCACCUGGUGACAUGACGCUGUGACAUCACAGCAAGACCAUUUAAAGGGCAGGUGCUCUCGGUCCGUCUCUCUCAGUCUCUCCUCCUCCUCUGUAGUGAGUUAAUGUUUUUUUCUGGCUGUUGUGUAAAUGUUGUCGCUCCCCCUCUGCUAAGGUAAGACCGACCUGCUGCUCUGUGAGACGUCUGCUCUCUUUUACUCUAUAGUCCAGACGUCUUGAAUAUCUGUUUCAAAAACACGUGUUUACGGUCUUUUCUCUUUGCUCUUUAAUUUGACAUAAAAGUUCAGAUGUUAUUUUUAUGACAGUAAUUACAGCCUUUUUUGACACAGGUGAACUCUUUUAAGAGUCCUGCUGCAAAAAUAUAUAAAUAUAAGGGCUGGGCGAUUUGGGAAAAAGUUUAUCACAAUCUAUUGAUUUCAUAUCAGCUGAUAUGGAUCAAUAUCAGGAUCUAAAAAUCUAACAGUGUUUCUUGGUCUCAUGUCUUUUCCAACACAAUAAUCUCCUGCAUCUGUGAGGUCUUUGUGUCUCUUUGGCGUUUUGUCGUAAGGCGUCGCUCUAGAGAAAGCCGACUGAACGGUCGUCUGUUUCAGGCGCCACGGGCUCCUCGCUCCUCUCGGGGUUUGUAACCUUUUGCGUUGCGCGUGCUCUGCGGCGUGGCGCUGCUUCAGGUGGUGAAAAAGAUUUGAGGUAUUCCCCGACUUUGUGAGAACAUGUACUCGACAUAAUUUACAGUCCACAUUACUCUGCUUCAUGUCCGACCUCCAAAAACCAAAAUACCUCCACACCACCGACGUUUUCCUAACGCCAGUGUUGUGGUUGACAUUGAUGUGGUCAUCUGUUGAGCCUUCAUGGUCAUUUCUGUCGGGGGUAGCACUCAUUUUCUUUGUUUCUCACCAACAGUGCUGUCGGCUUCACCUGUUAAAGUGCUAUGGUUGGGUGGAGCUGCUGUCUGCUACGACGCUGCAGUUGGUUGAUACUUGGUUCUAAUUCAGAACAUGAUUGGUUCAGACCCGGAGACACUCCCCUUUUCAUUGGCUGUUCGUAUAGUCGACCAAAACAUGUCAGAAUGACGACUAUUGAAAAGGAUAUUGAUCAUGUUUUAUAUUGAUAAUGAGGGAAAUUAAUUUCCGAUAUAUAUCGUUAUGGUUUUAUCGCCCAGCCCUAACAGGUAAAAACUUGGUUGUAAAGGCUUUUUUAGUGAUGGACUAAAUGACCAAUCUCCCAGAAUCAUGAGUCAGAUCCUGGUGGAAAUACCUGUAAGAAUAUUCUUUAAUUAUCCUGCUGUCUUCAUUGUUAAGCUGCUCCAUAAGUGGAAAGUCCGUCAGACUGAUUGGAUGGUUAAAAUCGUCUUUUCUCUGUUUGUUUUCCUGUUGUUUUCUCACUUUGGCCCCUCCUGUCAGAUGAUAGAGAAGCACAUGGAUGAAGCAGCUGCUGAUCAGAAUUCAGCUCAGCAGAAAGUCUGAUCCUCCGUCAGUGGUCUCAUGUUUCUGAAGAGUCUGAAAUGAUUAAAGUCACAUAUUCAGGAGGAAAAACCCGGUCUGGGUCCCUCGGUCUCCUUUGUUUGCUCCUGACUGUAGGGGGAUUUUUCCUGCAGGAGUGUCGUGUUUGUUUUGGUGUGAGCGCAGAGGAAAUAACAGCAUACUUGAUUUUACCGGAGGAGAGGACUGGUGCAUCAUGGGAAAGUUUUGAGCGCUUGAUUGAAUUUUUUAUUUCAGUCAUGGUGAAUAAUUUAGUCGGCUUUAUUUAUGACUACAGGAUAAUGCAUCCAGGCAGAGCAGGCCUGAGAUAAAACACAGAGGAUCACAGCUGCAGUCAGAGGACCGAGUCUCCAACCAAGUCUUACCUGCAGGGUCAGGACUCUGCAGGGUCAGGAGGACUCUGCAGGGAGAGAGUCUCCGGACUCUGAGCCGUCAUGUUCUUUAAAGAGGAGGAGUUUCUGUAGAUGCAGAGUCAUGAAAACACAGCAGCUGUAAUAAUGAGAGGAUAUAAACCCGACAUUAAAGUUUAAUCAAUCGCAGAGUUUGACACGCACACGCACACACACACACACAUGCACACACACGCACGCACGCACACACACACACACACACACACACACACACGUCCUUUGUCAGGGUCAGCAGAGGAACAGAUCAGGUAACGUUUCCUCAGGUGUUUCUAAGAUCAGUCAGAAAGUUCCCCAUCCGUGUGUUUGUGUGUUUGUGUUUGUGUGUGUUUGUGUGUUUGUGUUUGUGUGUCUGUGUGUCUGUGUGUCUGUGUGUUUGUGUGUUUGUGUGUUUGUGUUUGUGUGUUGCUCUCUUCAGUGAAGUUCUGACCCAGAUAGACCCUCCUGUUGGGCAUUUAGCAGAGCAGGUUAGCCUGCUGUGUGUGUGUGUGUGUGUGUGUGUGUGUGUGUAUACAUCUGUGAUUUUGUGUGUUUUUGAGGCAGGGUGUCGUGGCAAAGGCGGUAAUUAAAUGUCCCUCAGUUCCUCCCAGCUGUGUGUGUUUUCUCCAGGUCAUACUUACACAACUCAGUGUGCGUGUGUGUGCGUGUGUGUGCGUGUGUGUGCGUGCGUGUGUGUGUGUGUGUGUGCGUGUGUGUGCGUGUGUGUGUGUGUGUGUGUGUGUGUGUGUGUGUGUGUGACUCAGACCUACACUUUCUGCUCAGUCGUCUGUUAGUCAGCUCAGUGUUUGUAGAUCAAACAGUCCUCUCACUGCUGACCGAACAGAAACUUGUUUUCUUGUGAUUUAGCAUUUUCAUGUUUCUGUAUUUUUGUAUUUUUUUUUGGUAUUUUAGUUUAUUUGUAUUUUUUCUUUUUUAUGUCUUCAUUUUUGUGUUUUUUGUAAUUUUUUUUACUUUUUGUAUUUUAUUUUUGUAGUUCUAUGGUUUUGUUUUAUUUUUGUAUUUUUGUGUUUUUGUUUUAUUUUUUAUUUUUGUGUUUCUGUAUUUUUGUGUUUUUGUAUUUUUGUCAUUUUUAUGUUUUUUUUACAUUUUUUGUAAUAUUUUUGUGAUUUUGUAUUUUGUGUUUUUUUGU
Molecule: non-coding RNA, 3041 nt
Organism: Xyrichtys novacula (pearly razorfish)
Lineage: Eukaryota; Metazoa; Chordata; Actinopteri; Labriformes; Labridae
Source: the annotation of a GenBank genome assembly